GCCUUCGUGGUGUAAAUGGUCAGCACACUGAGCCGGUAUCUCAGAGGUCCGUGGUUCGAUCCCCGGCGAAGGCA
This 74-nucleotide transfer RNA is filed under the name Stegodyphus mimosarum. It matches the Rfam family "tRNA". From Rfam's summary of the family: Transfer RNA (tRNA) molecules are approximately 80 nucleotides in length. Their secondary structure includes four short double-helical elements and three loops (D, anti-codon, and T loops). The record is from Rfam by way of RNAcentral. Lineage: Eukaryota; Metazoa; Arthropoda; Arachnida; Araneae; Eresidae.